This 5500-nucleotide transfer RNA is filed under the name Sus scrofa (pig). Its description in RNAcentral is "lncRNA (ENSSSCG00030015202.1)". Lineage: Eukaryota; Metazoa; Chordata; Mammalia; Artiodactyla; Suidae. The record is from RNAcentral.
CCGGAAGGCACCGCGGCGCUGGCCGGGUGAGGGGCGAGGUUAGAAAGGACGCAGCGGGGCUGGGGAGGAGUGGCGGCCUCCCCUCCUGGAGAGAGGACACCGGCUGAGCCCAGCAAGAGGACCCCUUGUUAGGACAGCUCGGAGAAGCUGGCCUUGUGGGACCAAACCUGCUCUUCGAGACGGAAGCUUGCAGGGGUCUAGCGAGGAGGAGGCGCCCGCCACGCAGAGAGCGCUUCCCUGGCGAGCAGGCCCCUGCACUUCUCUUCCUCCCCAAUAUUUGGGGAAUGGGAGUUUCACGCCCAGAAAACCCGGUGCUGGUCCCUGUAGCCACUCUAGCCUGCCGUGGGUCCCCGCUGGCCUUGUUGCUGGUCACCUCCCAGAACUUUGGGGUAUAGUGUUGACAACAUUGGCCCGGCUUCCAAGGAGAGGCCGCGGGAAGACCACUCUCUGUCACUGCCCAGCCCCACGCCUGGGCAAAGCCCCUCCUCCACACACAAGCACCGGUGUCUGUGUAGCGCAUCGUCCUGAGGAUCUGAGAUGUCACCAGGUUUCAUGUGCGGACAACGACAGUGUGAAGGUCAACAUCUGAUCUCAGGAUUCCUAAAGGCCACAGCGCCGCUUGGCCUGCAGAAGUUGCCCGGCCGGGAUCCAGCCCCGCCCAGCAGCACAAUGCACCAUAGGGGCAGCAAGGCUGGAUCCUUAACCCCCUGCACCACUAGGUAACUCCCAUGAACUGCACUUCUGAACGAUGGCUGUACCUCUGAACCGCAAGGAGCUCUGCGAUCCUUUACCCAGAUGCCCAGCUUCUUGUUCUCCAAACCCUGAAAAGUCACCGUGUUCUUUAGUUUUGAGAUGGUUGCCUUCAGCCGAAGUUGACUUUUAAAACUUGAAUAAGACCUGAAAUUGUCUUCAAGAAUCUCACAACCUAAACUUACACUUCUGUGUGUGGAUAUUUCGGCCUCUGCAAAGCUUCUCAGCCCCGUGAGGGCUCACUCCUUGCAGCCACGGACCCUGGGGGUUUGGCUACAAAACAGAAUCCAGUGCUGCCCCAUCCCACAGAGAAUGACUGGGCUGAGCAGGGGGAAACAAGGGACACUAAGAAACGCUGACCCAGCAGUUGCUCCUGGAAGAAGCCAUUAAGGUCAAGGCAGAAAUAAUGGCCACUUCAACAGGAACAGGAGAUGCAGAACACAAGAGGCUGGGCCAGCAGGGCUGGGCUGAGUUUACCUGGGUCUGAGCAGCCUUCCUAGAAGCCUUGCUAGAGCCAGUUCUCAACUUAGCUGCAGACCAGGGGCUCUGGGGAGUGGGGACGGUCCCUGGGCUCCAGCCCAAACACGCUGAGCUCAUUGGUCUGGGGUGGGGCCUGGGAAAGGGCACUUUCAUAGACUCUUCAGGUGCUUCUCAUUGACAUUUAGAACUAAGAACCGCAACAACCAUAGUAAAGCUUCACCAUUUGCUGGUUCCAGAAAAAACAAAACAAAACAACAAAAUUUUAUGUUGUGCCUCAUAAAGAAGUUGAAAUGCAGCAUGAAUUACAAAGGUCAAGAAUCAGGAAAAAUAGGGGGCACCCAGACUUGAACUGGGGACCUCUUGAUCUGCAGUCAAAUGCUCUACCACUGAGCUAUACCCCCUUCUGCUAUAUGUGGUGACAAUUAAUACUGUUCAUCAGUCUAGCCACGCCCAGGCUGCCUGUAAAUCUAAGAGCCGCCACUUCAGGAAGGACCUCUUUUGGGAACUGGCAAACCACUCUUCAGCCUGCCACCUAAGAAGCAACAAGCUCUGUCCUCAAAAGCCCUGCAGCCUGUGUCCACCCACCCCGCCCCAGCCAAGGGCCCCAGGGUGUGAGCAGCAGCCGGGAGAAGCCUUGACGUUGGCUGUAGAAUGGCCUUCAGAGUCAGAGGCCUGGCUCCAUCAUGGUGGGCACCUAAAAAACAGACACUGCCGGUGACUGAGAUGUCUGUGCAAACCCAUUUAAUGAGGCCUGACUCUCAUGGGCCGACCGUCGGUUCAGGGCACUUUCUGCUAAACUACAGUCUGGGACAAAAAUGACCCUCCACUUCUGCAGUUACUAGAGAUGGAGAAUCAUGGAGGUGAUCCACUCCUAGGAACCGUCAGGAGUAGGCGGCUGAGUGAAUUUAGGAAUCAUCCAAAUUAUCCCUGAGCUAACAUGAUGCAAGGACCAGGCCAUGCUGCUGGAGAGGAACCAUACUGAGCCCCGGGGCCCUCUGAUCCGUGGGCAAAUCUGUCUGCACACUCACGCCAAGACCCUGCUUCUGCUCUUGUCCAGGAAGCUGGGAACCUUCUCUUUGGAAAACCGAUGUUGGGAGCUCUCCCUCUCACCCCCCAGCUUCUCCCUCGGGGCCUCGGCAGCCCAGCAGUUGCUUCUCCUCCUCCCCUGGCUGAGAAGCUGGGAGAGGCUGACCUUGACCGUGAUGCUGAGGUGGAAGGAGACCCGGGGCAGGGCUCUGCGGGAGACGCCAGCCUUUGCUCUGCCCACUAACAGACUUAGAAGGCCCGCAACUGGGAGAAAGAGCGGCCACCAGAGGAAAAGGCAACAAGGGGAGCCCUGGAGGAGACUUGUGGGUGACUGGGGGGGAGGUGGGGGGGGCAGGCAGGGAGGAGGGACCCGGCCUGGAACCCCAGCUGGGUGAGGCCCACAGAGCCCCUACCUGCACUGCUCUCUCCCCAGACACGCCUCGGCCCUAAGAUCUAAGUGACAGCGAAGCAGGUGCCUCCCAGCCACAGCAGGCCCUCCACCCCUGAGCCUCUGUAGAAGUCUUUCCUGCCGCCUGAAAUGCCCUCCUUCCCGGCCCUCGAGGACCAGGCCCUGCACCCAGGAGGCUUCUCAUUGGCUUCCUUCCUCUGCACCAGGCGCGGGCGGUCUGCUUCCGCAUCAAAACUACUCAGCCUCCCUGGCCACAAGUUUCUAGGGGAGCCGCAGGGUCAGGCCCCGCCCCCCCCCCCGCCCCCGUCCCCACCUUGAUUCCAUUCUCUUAACACUAAGAGGAGGUCACAGAGGGUGGUCCUUCUCUGUCCUUGGCCUUGGAGUCCUCAGACACAUAGGGGCUAUUGGUUCAAACCCAGUGAGCUUAACACAGAUUCGGGGAGUUUAUUCCAUAAUGUGGCGGGGGUUUUUGUUUGUUUGUUUGUUUUGUCUUUUUAGGGCUGCACCUGUGACAUAUGGAGGUUCCCAGGCUAGGGGUUGAAUCGGAGCUGGAGCUGCUGGCCUGCACCACAGUCUCAGCAACUCUGUAUCCUAGCUGCGUCUGCAACCUACACCACAGAUCACUGCAAUGCCGGAUCCUUAACCCACUGAGUGAGGCCAGGGAUCGAACCUGCACCCUCAUGGAUACUAGUCGGGCUGGUUAACCACUGAGCCACAACAGGAACUCCCAUUCCAUAACUUGGGCUUUGUAGGGAGACUUCUUUAGAGACCGGAAGGAAAUUCAAGCAGCACAAGCAGUCCAGUGACCUUUCCUUGAGAGAAUCAGCCUCCACCCAAUCCCAGCGCCUCUGCCCCUGGGAACAGAGAGACAAGCACCUCUCUGCUCCGGUGGUUCGUGACCUUCUCCAGAGGACGUGGGCCCUGGCGCUUCCUGUCCACUGGAAGAAGAGCUCAGCAUCUGCUGAGUCCAAAAUCAUGGCCUUUCAAAGACACUCCCUGAAACAGCAGUUGAACAAGAAAAGGACUCGCACAGCCACCAUCUGUCUGUUGACCUGAGGCACCUUGAAGAGAUCCUGCCCAAGCUCUUUGGAGACACGUGCAGGACCUACACCUGAAGUGUAUCGAGGGGUUGAGUGGAGUCGUCCCCUGACAACCAGAAUAAGAGGUUCAAGUGGAAUAAGGCAGGGCAGUAAACGCACACGCUGAAGUCGGAUGCAGGAGUGAAUUGGCUAGAAGCGCCCCCGUGUGGUCAUGAUGUGGGCUUAUUGACCUGAAAUAUGAGCACCUUCAAGAGACAACGGGUCCACCAUCUAGAUGCCACCACAAAGAAUGACAGCACCCAGUAGUACAGAAACCACUGCCUUUGCCAGACUUCCUCCAACAUUCCCUGGUCAGCGCUGAAAGACUCUCUAAAGCUGAUCACCUAUCUUACUGAGAAAACAGCUCGAAGCUCACUCACGCCUGAGAGCUCUGUGAGUCUCUGCUGCUUAGAUGGGAAGCAGACUCCAGGGAACAUUUCCAGUGUCCCUGUUCAAGGCAGGUGACAGAGGUUCCUGUGUGAAGGCAGGGGCAGGGAGGUAGUCCCACACAGCCUCCUGCUUGCAGCCGCACUGCCCAAACGCUUGCAGCCCUAGCAGGUAGCAGGCAGUCCCCGCAGUCAACUCCCUUCUCUCUGUGCGGAAGCAGCUCAAGACGGAGCCCCUGCAGCCCUUCGGCAAGCACAGCCCUGUGCUCGGUAGUGGGGGAGCACACAGGAGGCGUCGAAGCUCCCAUUCCCCCCAUGCUGAUGCCUGUGUGUGGCAGAGGUGGGACAGUGCCCACAUGAAGGGCGGCAUCAGCAAGUCUCUGAGAAUAAGCAUCACUGGGAGUGGGGGUCGGGUCAGCCCUGGAGAAAUUCACCUGGGGCUGCAAGAAGAAGCUAGAGAGGCUUUUUCUAGCAAAAGCUCUAAACUAUCGAAGCUCUCUUCUGUCCUAGGAAGACUCAAUUCCACAGGACCCAGAGGUGAAAAGGCAUUUCUUCAAUCUGCAGAGAACUGAAAGGGGUACUGAGGGGUGGAGAUAUUGAGAAAAGUCCUCCAAACGGAGAAGGAACUUUAAGAGUGAAAAACAAAGCAGGCAACUCCAUAGAGUAGCCGUAUGAAGUUUAUUGUGGAUGACACCACAGGUGGGGCUGGCCUUCACAGCUGCACUCUGUGCUGUCAGUGGGGUCCAGGGGCAUUUAAAGGGGCCACAGCAAAAGACAGAAGCUGCGGGAGAAGCGUGUCUGCACGGAUGGCAGCCGAGGUUUUUGCCUCCCCUGUGGGGUCUCAUAACCAUUAACCCUUGCAAGUCAUUAACCAUCUGUCAGCAAAAGGCAUAUUCUUCCAGCGUGCCUUUCAGAGGCAGACAAGGGAAGAGGUUGAUGGACACUCGUCUGUCUGGGGUGCAUUCCUGGUGAGAAGGCUAAAGCUGUCUUGCAGAAGGGGAGGGGCAAGAGACGGAGCUGACAAAAUGGGGUCAGUGUGGUUCAAACACACAGGCCCCUCCCUUGUGAUCGCUGUCUGAUAAGCACCCGUGUGGCCUCAUCAGUACUUCUGUUUGUUUGUCAUCAGCCCAGGAGGACAGCUCCACUGCAAACUAAACCCCUUCUCUCUCAUUUUCUCCUUCCCCCAAGCCCUGACCCUUCCCACCUGGCAGCCCUGCAGCUUCCCCUCCCCCCAGUUCAAGGCAAGUCACCUAAAGCCACCAGUGUUCUCCUAGAAGAGCUUUUAGAAUGAUCCAGAACUUUGGCCAAACGGGGCACCCAGGAAAAUCAUCUCCUGUUUCUGUAAUGUGGGUGGAUGGAAAAAAAAAAAA